Molecule: non-coding RNA, 738 nt
Filed under: Pongo abelii (Sumatran orangutan)
Lineage: Eukaryota; Metazoa; Chordata; Mammalia; Primates; Hominidae
Source: RNAcentral
CCGGGGACCGGCCUCCGCCGCGGGCUCUGCCCGCUCGCCUGCUCGCCUAGUGGGGGAGAGGGGAGCGGGGCCGACACAGGGUUCCUGACCAAGCUGGUGCUUCUGUGUGUGUUCCUGCAUGACUUGGUGUGUCCCCUUCUCUUGGAUCUACUGCAGUUGACAGCAGAUAACUGAAAGCUUGGAAAGUGAAACCGUGGAUAAGCAGGGGAACUGUGGCAUCCCAUUUAAAAUUGCUUCUGAAGAGAAGCAUGAGGUUACAUCUGUAAUCUCCCUGCAGCAGAGUCAACUGCAUAAGAAACCAAAAGACACAUCUGCUCCAUGCCAGCCUAAGCCACCACAUAAAAAGUCAGACCAUCUGCUGGAAGAACCACAUGGAGAGGCCCUGAGUCGACAUGGAGAGGAAGAAGGACUUGAUUGAAUCCAGCCUUCCAGCUGUCCCUACCAAGGUGCCAGGCACGAGAAUGAAGCUGUCUUGGACUCUGAAGACCAGCUUAGCCACCAGGUAAAUGCCACUAAGUGACCUCACUCAAUGUCAUGUGGGAUGGAAGAAUCACCCAGCCAAACCCUUCCUGGAUCCCUGACCCAGAAAUUUGUCAGAUGUAAUGGUUGUGUAAAGCCACUCAAUUUGGGGGCAGUUUGUAUGCAGCAUAGCUAGCUGGUAUGAUACAACAGCCUGCAAUUCAGGCAGCAGCAGCACUAACAACCAUGAAAUCCUGCAGGAGCGAACUCCUUUGGGGU